RNAcentral lists this ribosomal RNA (402 nucleotides) under uncultured bacterium. RNAcentral describes it as "bacterial SSU rRNA". It matches the Rfam family "Bacterial small subunit ribosomal RNA", at positions 29 to 430 of the family's 1533-position model. The record is from RNAcentral.
AUUGAACGCUGGCGGCGUGCCUAACACAUGCAAGUCGAGCGGUAACAGGGUGUAGCAAUACAUGCUGACGAGCGGCGGACGGGUGAGUAACGCUUGGGAAUCUGCCUAUUAGUGGGGGACAACCCGGGGAAACUCGGGCUAAUACCGCAUACGCUCUACGGAGGAAAGCCGGGGACCGCAAGGCCUGCGCUAAUAGAUGAGCCCAAGUCGGAUUAGCUAGUUGGUAGGGUAAUGGCCUACCAAGGCGACGAUCCGUAACUGGUCUGAGAGGACGACCAGUCACACCGGAACUGAGACACGGUCCGGACUCCUACGGGAGGCAGCAGUGGGGAAUAUUGGACAAUGGGCGAAAGCCUGAUCCAGCGACNCCGCGUGGGUGAAGAAGGCCUGCGGGUUGUAAAG